CAGCUGGUUCCUUGGACUUUGCACAGGUUCUCUUAUUCGACACUUGCAAUAACUAUAUGAACAGGAAACAACGAAGGAGCUGAGCUCUGUGACCAGUUUCGAUACCAGCUGAAACCGAAGCAUGAGCAGAUAUGCAAGAGCAAAGAAUCAGAAGAUGCCAGAAGUGAGGUGAGGAAACAGUUUGGGAGUGAACUGACUGGCCAGUGUUCUGGGGCUAGCAACGGAUGAGCUGAUCGAGAUUGGAACCUCAUUCUUCUGACUCCAAGCUCAAGGUGUGUGGGCUUGAGCUCCGAGCCCACAGGAAGCGCCAGCUCCCACUAAGCCUCCAGUUAGGCCAUGAGACUGUAGGGGACAACCACAAACUCCAAGGACACUGCUGCCACCUGCUGUUCACACAUUUUCCAGCCAAGGCUUCUCCCCAACAUCAAGAUCUUCACCACUGUCUUCCCCAGACCCCUUCUGUGG
This is a long non-coding RNA of Lagenorhynchus albirostris (white-beaked dolphin), 465 nucleotides long. RefSeq lists it as uncharacterized. The record is from RefSeq and is a predicted model, not a curated record. Lineage: Eukaryota; Metazoa; Chordata; Mammalia; Artiodactyla; Delphinidae. The transcript has 4 exons.